UACGUGGGGUGCGAGCGUUAAUCGGAAUUACUGGGCGUAAAGCGUGCGCAGGCGGCUUUGCAAGACAGAUGUGAAAUCCCCGGGCUCAACCUGGGAACUGCAUUUGUGACUGCAAGGCUAGAGUACGGCAGAGGGGGAUGGAAUUCCGCGUGUAGCAGUGAAAUGCGUAGAUAUGCGGAGGAACACCGAUGGCGAAGGCAAUCCCCUGGGCCUGUACUGACGCUCAUGCACGAAAGCGUGGGGAGCAAACAGG
This 253-nucleotide ribosomal RNA is filed under the name uncultured bacterium. RNAcentral's name for it is "partial 16S ribosomal RNA". It matches the Rfam family "Bacterial small subunit ribosomal RNA", at positions 524 to 776 of the family's 1533-position model. The record is from RNAcentral.